This 374-nucleotide long non-coding RNA is filed under the name Nicotiana benthamiana. RNAcentral's name for it is "long non-coding RNA (NBEN_LNC031932)". Lineage: Eukaryota; Viridiplantae; Streptophyta; Magnoliopsida; Solanales; Solanaceae. The record is from RNAcentral.
UAACACCAAAACUCUAGGUCCGAAAGUCGGAAAACCCUAGAAUUUGAAGAACUCGUCGGAACAAAAUCAGAGAUGUCGGAAAAUCACCCAAAACAUCUACUGAUACAGGAUCGGAGCCUCAAAAAGUCAGAAAAGUCCCGAUUAACCGAUUAACAUUCAUCGAAAAAAUAUACGAACAGUAUUUUUCUCAGAUAACCGAAGAAAAACUUCAGCGAAAGCUUCAUCAAGUAUCGAUAACACGUAACAAAGAAGGAUCGGAAGAUUUUCCCGCUCUGAUACCAUGAAAACAUGGAGAUUUGAAGAUGAAAACUAGAGAAGAUGAAGUUGAACAGUGAGAAGUAGAGAGAGAGAUGAGAAGCUUCUGGAGGAAACCC